RNAcentral lists this long non-coding RNA (500 nucleotides) under Cairina moschata (Muscovy duck). Its description in RNAcentral is "domestica (muscovy Duck (domestic type)) lncRNA (ENSCMMG00000000035.1)". Lineage: Eukaryota; Metazoa; Chordata; Aves; Anseriformes; Anatidae. The record is from RNAcentral.
UCUCACUGCAAGAUCAUCAUCACCUAACACCUUUACCAUACACAGCAGUCAUUAGAACAUGAUAUGAUUAUGGUUUAUGAACCUCUCUCCUAUAGGACCCUUGUGGACCCACCAAUAUUUCACGUGAAGUUUGGUGUGAGAGGCUGUGAAAACAACAGCAGAACUUUCUUUGCACUUUGAAGAGAGCCCAGUUUGCCUGUGAAGUUCAACUCAAGAGGUGCUGCUCUUGAGAGGUGCUGAAUGGCCCUUGGACUUGAAGAAUAUCCUGAAUUUCCUCCGUCUUCAGUAACAGAAGAAAAUACUCAACACCAGGCAUAGAAAAACUCGGCAGUCUGCUUAAAAAUGAAGAAGUCGUGACACCUAGCGGUGAGUUAAACAACAAUAGCUUUUGUUUCUUGAAGAACUCACAGUUGUUUUCCAUAGGCAUGUUGUUCUCAGUCAGAUUGCGAUGUGAGAGGUGUGAGUAUCACCCUCAUGACUCCAAACAUCCAGGCAGCCAC